RNAcentral lists this ribosomal RNA (253 nucleotides) under uncultured bacterium. RNAcentral describes it as "partial 16S ribosomal RNA". It matches the Rfam family "Bacterial small subunit ribosomal RNA", at positions 524 to 776 of the family's 1533-position model. The record is from RNAcentral.
UACGUAGGGGGCGAGCGUUGUCCGGAUUUAUUGGGCGUAAAGAGCGUGUAGGCGGCCAGGUAGGUCUGCUGUGAAAACUCGAGGCUCAACCUCGAGACGUCGGCGGAAACCAUCUGGCUAGAGUCCGGAAGAGGAGAGUGGAAUUCCUGGUGUAGCGGUGAAAUGCGCAGAUAUCAGGAGGAACACCGGUGGCGAAGGCGGUUCUCUGGGCCUGUACUGACGCUGAGGAACGAAAGCGUGGGGAGCGAACAGG